This is a long non-coding RNA of Acanthochromis polyacanthus (spiny chromis), 15449 nucleotides long. RefSeq lists it as uncharacterized. The transcript is spliced from 3 exons. Lineage: Eukaryota; Metazoa; Chordata; Actinopteri; Pomacentridae. The record is from RefSeq and is a predicted model, not a curated record.
UUUUUUUUCAAAUAAAACUUUCAAGGAAUUAUUGGAAUUUUCUUCCUGAAGGUUUUGCAAAUUUUCAGAAAUUUGGGGAAUUUUUUGCUGAAUUUUGGGAUUUUUUCAGACAAGGAAACUAUAUUCUUUGGUGCCCAUAAAUGAGGACAACAGGCGGGUUAAAAUAGUGGUGCUAUGGCAGCCCACUGGUGACCCAAUACCUUAUUAAACCAAUAUGUCACCCAUAUAAUUGCAUUAAUGUCCCUUUCUAAUGCAUGUGAUUUUUUUGAGUGAAGACAUCCAAAUUUUUGUCACAAAAAAUGGAUUUCUGCACCUAAAAAUGUUUAAAUAGGGUGGGAUAUUGUUUUUUUUCCAUUAUAAGAUCACUUUUUAAAUACAGUGACGCCUCUUUGACCCAUUGGAGCAAAAUCCUACAAAGGAGAUUUCAUCAAAUACAUCUAAUCCACUUUCAUCAAGGAGAAAUUUACCAAUGGCUCUUUUUAGACCUUGACCGGCUUUGAAGCCAAAUUAACGGAGUCAUCUGGCAAAGACAGAGGUAUUCGGCCCCUAAGAGGAAAAAAAACAGCCUUUGACUGGAGCCAAUAUGUAACAAUUAUGUUCGCAGCAGCAGAAAGGCAGCGAGUGGCUCUUCUCCUCCUGAUAGCUGGACGGAGGACGGUUGUUAAUAGGUCGGAGAUGAUAGAUGAGUUAUUAGUUACGAAGGAGGAGAGGAGGGGGGAUGAAAUCAGGCCAGCUAUAUUCAUUCCACGAUUCAGUCUCUUUUUUUUUCCUUUUAACUCCCCCCCUCUUUCCUGCUGCCGUCCAUAUUUUGCGCGGAGAGAUUUGUCCUUACAAAUCAUUUCUUAAGAGGUUUAAUUUUACAGGAAUAUAUUUAUUCAGGAUGUAAUUUUGUAGGAGACAAUUUAUCAAGAAAUCUUUUAAAUAGACGUCAGCCGUUGGUCUCCCGCCAGCUCGGUCAAAGAUUUACAGUUUCACACGCGGUUAUUGUUGCUGACUUAAGAAUCUGACUUCUGGAUGUCAUUGCCUGGGUGUGGCUCGUGUCCAAUGCUGUUUGCAGGAGGGAGAUUCACAGCUUCACACAGGCAGGAUUCGAGGAAGGAAAGUUUUUUUUCUUCCUUUUUUUUCCCCCCGACCAAUUAUGCGAAAGUUUUUCUUUAUCUAAUUCGCAGUAUUAUGUGUGUGUGCAGGCAUAAUUAGGCGAGAAUCCACACCUUAUAGCAAUAUCGAGAUGGGCGACUAAUGAGCUGACAGGGGAGUGGGAGAAGAGAGGAAGAGGAGAGGGGACAGUGUGUGCUGGUGGCUCCGUAUCGAGGAAUACAAAUCACACUUUUUCAUGUCUCUGUCUUCUCAUAAGCAGCUUUAGAUUUCGAAAACAGGACUGGCUGGCGGGAAGGCAAAUGAUUUGAUUCAUUACAUGCGACGCUGGCACUCGGGGGCAUGUAUAUGUUAGAGGCUACAGUCGCUCAGGUAGCCCCCAUCCCCAGCCGCCCACUGCAUUUCUUAUAGCUUCCAUCGCUUUGUUUUUGUAUUCUGUGUGGCUGGCAUCGCCUCAGAUGCAUUGAAUCAAUUGCCUCAACCCACACCAGGCAUCCACCCCCAUACUCAUAUGUGAGUGAAAUUAAUGCCUGUGGGACGUACACGAGUUUAAGGCAGCCACGCUCAUUGAUUGGAGCCUAUUGUAAUAGCAAUGGAAAUAUAUUCAGAUAAUUAUCAGACUCAUUUAGGUAUGUGGCUUGGUUAUGAACCUGAUGCUGCUUUGUGGAGGGUUUUUUUCUUUUUUCUUCCUUUCCCUCGGCGGCGGCACCACAGAGCCUCAGAGCUGACAGUAAAUUUGCUCAUCAACCAGUUUCGUUCCAGUGCGAGGUAAAAAAUUAUCCAAUAUUUCACGGUCUGGCCCUUUGAAGGCGGUGUUACUCAGCAGAGCUGGGCGCUGAAAUGUAGAGAUGCAAACUUGUGCGCGAACGAAGAGACGAGGAAAGUCUUCACGUAGACCGAGGAAUCAAGUAAAUAACCAGAGCUCAUAUUUCAUUCCCCUGCUUUAUCCUCCUGCGGGCCCAGUCAUGCUUGUUGUCUGACAGCGUUAAGGUCAAGGUUUAUCUGUGUGCGGACCUGUGGGAGCCCAUUGAUCUCAUUAACAGUAUGUGUGUAAAAUGAUGAGAACUUCAUAGGAGGUCAGCGGAGGAUCAAUAUUAAAUCCUAUCUCAUUUAUAAUCCUGCAGAGCAGAGAGGCUCCGCGGGGCUUAGCUGCUUAAAAGAGGCAGCGUUUGACAAUUUACUUUAAUGCUCAUAUGAAUAAACGUAAUGACACGCAAAUGCUUUGAGAUAAGAUUUUUUUUUUAUUGUCUGUUUGCAGGCACUUUAGUACUGUUUCAGUGUCAACAAAUGCACUAUAAAUACCCUGAUGGAUGAUAGAAGGGGGAGGCUUGACCAGAAAGCGCUUUGCAAACACAAACACCAUCAAGGAGAAUAUCGACAUGGAAGCAAUAUGAAAUUAAAAUCAAUUCAUCAAAUGUUUGUUACAUCUGCUGGCAGAUUGAUGUUGCGUCCUCAGCUAUUUUUAAGGAGAUUUGGCUACUCUUAUCUGCCAUCUCCACCUUCUUACCCUCAGCAUCUUCAGAUCAGGGAUUAAGCUUCUGAUUAUACAUAUCACUUAGAGGAUUAACCCCUUUGCACACUCUUAUCUCCCCAAGUUAGGAAUCUGACCGCUGAUGGAUGCGAAAACCCGAUGAGGAGGCGUUUCAUGAGAGCGAUUUUUGAGGCAAAUUCCGGGAGGCAGCUGCGAAGAGAAACUUUUUCACCCAGCUUCUUCUAGAUCUCGGAAUUUAACCUUUAAUUUUGUAUGUUCCUGAGCCAAUUAAGCUGUGAGAUCUGUUUGAAGUGGUAGAUUGAAAAGAAGAACUCGCCGGUUUCGGGCCCAAACAGUGCAGGGAGACCACAGGGGUCCAGGUUCCCAGAGCCUGCAUGUGUAAUCCACUCUAACAUGCAUGCAAAUCUCAUCUGUGCCCGCACACAAUGGCCUGUCUGUGUGGAGGCGGGAGGAAGGGAAGCUUGAAAGAGGGAGAGAGGAAAAGCUGUAAGUGUGUGUCCUCUGUGCCAGAGCAUAUGCCAUGAUAGGCCUACGGAGACCUGCACAGACAAACUAAGGUUCACAGACUAGUAAGAGUCUUUGAUCAGGGUUGAUAUUUAAACAUCUGCAUAAUUAAUCCAAUAUCUGUGGAGCUCUCUGAGGGAGGAAAAAAACACAGCAUCGCCCGUGGAAAGGAGAACAUUGUAAAUUCCUGGCACCGCUCUGUUCUGCUUCUUCUCUGCGGUGUAAAAACAAAAGUUGGCAACCCAGAUCUCAGGGGAAAUUAAGAAUCUUUGUCUUAUCCAGCCAAUUAAAUGAAAUACACUUUUCUGUACAUGGCUGGAGCCGGCCUCUGGAAUCUAUUUAUGCCCGUGUUGUGGUUACCACUUCUACUACGCCGCUCACCGCUCAGAGCUUCCCUUCACCCUGCAGAUGAGACUGGAAAUCAGGGAUGUGGGGUGAGAGGUGCAGGGUUUUUUUUCCCUCUUUUUCCCAGAGACACAGAGAACUUACUUUCCAUCUGUCUCAAUCAUAUAGAUUUAUAGGAUUAGACCAAAUGCUGUUUUAGUCCUCAGCAGAGGCUCAACUCUUUCAUGUGAAACAUUGGAUUAGAUAGUCAGGGAGGCUUUUGUGUGUGUCGUCUCCAAACCUCCAAUGGCUCCUUUCUCUGGCAUCUUAUUGUUGUGCGGUGGGCUGUUUGCGUAUGCGCGGCGUGCCUUGAACUUUAUUACGUUUCGAUAACUUCAUACAUGUGUGCGCGUCUUUAUUCUCCCGAGCUAGCACCUCUGCUCUGCUGGGACCCCGGUGAGGAGACCAUAGCUCAGCGGGGGGCCUUCGCUCCAAUUUGCCAUCGUUUGUCACCAUUUGUUCAUCCUGACAAACAAAACGCUGGCCCUCGGUCGCCCGGGAUCAGCUGCUCUCUUCUUCUCAUGGCUCUAUUUUAGCGGGAUCCCUUUGUUUUGUUUUUUUGCUGAAUGAUUCCGCUCCACAUGCUGGACUUAAAAUAGUUUCUCGCCAUCUAAUUGCCUUAUUUCAUCAGACAUUAAUAUUGUAGCAUGUUGCCGCUGCAUUAUUGAUGGUGUGUUUGUCUUGGUGUAUGAGAUGUUAAUUAAAUGAUAAACUGGAGCUGUGACUGUAUGACAGUCUCUUUAUCCGUGAGUCAACAGGCUUCCACCCUGUUUCCCAGCCUAUUGUUGAGCCAGUCAGACUCUGUCUCUUGCAGCCUCGGCUUCAUUGUGCACUCAGAUAUCUCUAUUACAGGCCCCUCAGAUUAGAAGGUAAUAGCAUAAUGCACUUUAAAGGCAGUUUUAUGAUAAACUCUGGCUGGACAGGCUUCCAUGUACGAGAGGCCAGCUGUCCUGUCGAACGUGGUCGAGAUGUUUCAGGCUGAUACGAGCUUCAGCAUAGUGAACCGUCUCCCCGGUCAGUCACUUAAUGCUGAUUUUCAGCCUCAUAUCACUUUCUUGAAUCUCUGCGGGUGCAGCAAAGAAGCUAAAACAUGUAGAAUUGCUCCCCGGCUCCAUAAAAACACGGGAAGGUCAUGCAGUUAAAGCGCUCUCUGUGGCUUCCUGGGAGAGCGAAGCGUCUCUCUGGGCUGCUUACAAAUGGACAAGCAAUAAACUUUAGGUGACUGCAUGGCGUUAACAGCAAAGGAGUGAAUCCAGAUGAGGAUUCGGUUUCACUCACUCCUCCCCUCCUCCUCCGUUCUUCUGUCUGAUGUUCAGGUUUUAGCUGGAAGUCGUGAGAUGAACCGACAGAUGACCGCACCAUUACAGGCUGGAGUGGCUGGCUGGUUCUUUGGUCAGCAAGGCCGCGGUGACAAAUAAGUUGGCAAAGUUUCAGACAAGAGGCUCCUUGGCACCAAAGCUCAGACUGCUUGCUUUCGGCCCCAGUGAGGGACGAGGAACAGAUGUCUGGUUUAAAGCCACAGAGUUUCUCUCAAGCUGCAAAUUUCUUCUUGUUUGAAGUGAGCCCCGAGGCAUAUCUCAUUUUCAGCCCUUGUUCCAAAUCAUAUGCAUACCUUUAUUCACAUCUUGAAGACUCUCAUUACGUGAAAUGAAGAGUGUCAGAUACGGAGGAAGCUAUUAAGGAAGAGCAGCGAGCCCACUGGUCUGUCGUAAUUGUAGACAAUAGUGCUGAGAUGAGCUUUAUAUUACCAAUGCCAGAGUAAACACUGACCUUGCUGUUUUCAUGUUUGUGGCCCUGAGGGCUUUUUGUGUUUUUUUUUUUGUCUCUUGUUGUGAUUCAUAGAAAAGUAAUGUUGAAACAUAAAUUCAAUCUCAGAUAAGACUGCAGAUGUGUUGGCUUUCGCCCAAAAGAGAAUGAAAUGAUGCUUUGAUCAUGAACUGAUUCAUGUUUUAGAAAGUUGAGAGGCUUAAAGGCUACGUCUGGUGAGAUUUUAAAUUUUUUGUAGUUGUCUUUAAAUCCCGAGAAAAGACAAAAAACAAAAAACAAAGAGCGAGUAUUGUCUGUGAAGCUGUAGCCUGAUAGAAUGAAUUCCGCCAGAUCUCUGCUGUUGCUCAGAAACUCUUAAAACACAAGUGAGUCACAAUAAUCCUUUAUUACGAACACUGUGAACGUGGUCCUUUUUUUUUGAGUCAGUCCAACAUGACUUGCUGUAAAUACUCACUAUAGCAGUGGUUCCAAAGACACCGAGAGGGGAUUUUGAGAUGAUGUCUUGAAAUCAAUAAAUCGAUCGAUAAAUAGAGAUUGCCACUAAACCCUGAGGAUGAUCUCCAAGUGGCCGUCUCCAAUUUUAAACCAAGAAUGGAUUUGCUAUGUAGUGCCCUCCCGCCUUCAUAGGUGAGUUUAAGGUUAAAUCGAAAGAAAGGAGUAAAAAGCAGCAACAUAGAAACAUCAUCUGAUCUCUUACACACCGUAUGUUUACUCACUAUUACAGUUUACACACUGACGUUACUCUGAUGCUUCGUGCUACAUUACUUGCAGCUGCAUGCAAUAUUUAUAAGUUCCAACCACCUCCAGGGAUCGUGAGUCUGUGGAACUGUCAUUUAAGGGGUUGGAGGCUGUAAAGUUUGAGAACUACUGCACAGGAGCAGCAAAUGUGUAGCUCUGGUCAGACACAGACUCCAUUCCAUGAUUCUGACGGCAACUGAACAAGUCGGCUUCAUGCUUUAAUGACCAAAAGUUGCAAUGCCGCUCUUACUAUGUCGGACUUCGUAUCAUUUGUAUAUUAACCCUUCUGUUGUCCUCAUUUACGGGCACCAAAAAAUAUUGUUUCCUUGUCUGAAAAAAAUCCAAAAAUUUAGCAAAAAAAUUCCCCAAAUUUCUGAAAAUUUGCAAAACCUUCAGGAAGCAAAUUCCAAUAAUUCCUUAAAAGUUUUAUUUUAAAAAAAAAACCCUAAAUUUGGUAAGGAAAUUCUUAUAAAUAUUUUUCAAAAAAUGAGUAAAAAUCUUCCAACAAAAAAAAAAUCUAAAAAUAUCUAAAGUGAUUACAUAUAUAUCAGUGAAACUUCUAAUAUUUUCUUUAAGAACAUUCACAAAAACAAUCAACCAAAAUCCAGCGAAUUUCACUGGAUUUUGUUGUUUUUUUUGGUGAAUGUUUUUGAACAUUUUUAACAUUUCUUUUUUUUCCACCAAAAAAGGUUCAAAGAUCUCCCAAAAAUGUUGAAAAUGUGGACAUCUGAAGUUUCACUGUGAAAAUAUAUUUUUUCCCACAUUUUCAAACUUUAGAACGGGUCAGUUUUGACCUGCAGGACGACACGAGGGUUAAUGUCAGAACACCACAAGUCUGAGCUGCAUCCAUUCACAUUACUGAACAGGCACACAUAAGUGACCUUGAGCUGUGUGAAGUGAUUUAGGAGAGGCUUUUCUCCACAUUUCUGCACCUAUAUUGGUCCAAAAACAUCCCAGAGAGCAAAAGACACAGGUUGAGUGCCAAAAUCAUAAAACACUUUGCCCUACAAGUUCACAUGUGUGAGGCUAAAAACUGAAAUGUCCAUAAUAGUGCGACUUUACUGCGAUAGCAAUAAAGAUGGUAAUCCUUUUUCUUUUGACAAAACUUUACCAGGAGUAGAAGUUUAGUUUGACGUUUCCCGUUGUUUGUAGAAGUCCUUUCUCUAAGUUUGUUAAAUACCAGCAGCAUCAAGCAGCAGCUGGAUCCAUAUGUGCACAUUUGUGCCGGUAACCUGAAUAAACUCUAAGAAUUCUAUAUUAUCUUGUACAUGGAAACUGGAUCCAUCAGGAUUUAACGGCAGGUUCCACUGUGUGCUUUUCUUCACUUCAAAUUACUGAUGUGUCACACAAAAAGUCACAGUUUAUCAGCAACAGUUAAUUCAUUUGUUACAUAGAGGUUUUCCUCAGGUUGUGUCCUGAGCUCCAUCACAGCUCUCUGGAUAUUUUUCUUUUACUUUUCAUGAAGUAUUAGUUGGAUAUUCAUGACAUAUAGACAGAAUUUCAGGGAAAUCAUGCGUAAACUAGGCUAUACACUUUGAUAAGUUGCUAUCGGUUUAUAUUUGGUCUUUCACUUAGUGGAUUAUUAUGUAUUAUAUUGUCAUUUGCUGUAGUGUUCAGUUUCAAGUCCAUAACAAAUGUGGUGCUCAUCAUGGCCCUCUCUGUCACUGUAUGUCUGAAUGAGGCAUAUUGAGGAACAUCAACAUAAUAGUGAUCCGUGUCUGUCUGACUGACUGACAGCUGUCACUUUAACACACGCAGUUCUAUUUCUUUCUGUUUAUCAGUGAUCAGAAUAGAUGAUAACUUACCUACUGGGCCAACUGUAGGUGGACCACAUGUAUGGGAAAGAUGUGUGCUGAUAAUGGAUCAUUUAAUAGGUUUAUGACGUUCUAAUCAGGACUUAGUUUAGUGUGCAGGAUUACAAACAUUUGUUUAUUAGCACUGAACACAAUGUACAGCUGAAUCUUGAAUUUUCCUCAGGAUUAAUAAAGUAUCUAUCCAUCCAUCCAUCCAUCCAUCUAUCUAUCUAUCUAUCUAUCUAUCUAAUAUGUCGGCCUGAUGGUGACACCAAAGCAAGUUUACCAACAUUUUUUUACAUUUUGUUCCUUUUGAAGGGGUGUGUUCAUAGCAAAUCAUUGGAAUCCCUUCAACAGAAACUUUUUUUUUUUUUUUUAAAGAUUUGCAUUUUCAGUAGGAAUCAGAAUUGGAGAGUGAGUGACAUGUGAAGUACAGAGGGAGCUGUGUUCCCAUAAUAUGUGGAUUUUGAAGUAUCGCAUUAGAAAAGGUUAAUGGAAACUACAAAUUUUUAAAAAAAACGUUUCCGUAAAAGUUUUAUCUCUCACUUGAGGUGGCUUUUGAGUUUUUCCAAAAAGAAUAAUAUCGUUUCCUAGGAGACGGAAACACCGUUUUUGAGUUAGUUCGAACUUAAUGAAUAUUUAACUCACAUGAAUGAUCAGACUCUGACGUGGCUAAUAAUAGCUGACAUGAAAAAAUAAUUACAACUUGCCAUACUGGAAAAACAAUUUAAAUAAAUUCGUACUCGAAUAUAUGGCCAAACAGACUGAUUUGUUUGUCUGGUGGUGUUAUGAGAUUGUGCAUCUGUUGCUGAAUAUUUUCCACCAAUAAACACCCUGUUUUUGAAAAAUUUUCAAGCAUUCAGAUAAUCAAGACAAUCAUUUAUCUCUGCGAUAGCAAUUAUUUCACCUGAAUCCUCCGUCUGAGCACUAAAUUAUAGAUUUAAAUGACUACAAUAAAAAUCUCGCCAGGAAUUUCAUUUUUUAAUUGGAGGCAGCAAGCUGAGCAGUUUGGUCACUUCUCGGUUGAUUUAUGUCUCAGGCUGAUUCAGCUGACAUUCAGACUCCCCCAUGGGUCUCCGUGUGAAAUAAUCUCCGUUUGUAAAUUCACUUUGCCCCCGCUGCACUGGGAAGUCAGAGGUCAGAGUCACUAUUGGACUCAGUGUUGUGAUUUCCAGCAGGAGGCUGUGAGCGGCUGCUGUGGUUGAGGGUUUGUCUCUUUAUUCGGUGCACCACGGAGCUGCUGUAAUACCCACAUGUAAUCAGUCUGCCGGAUUAUUAGAGCAAAUUAAAUCAGAAACGGUUUCUGAAAAUCAGCACUCCAGUUCAACAAGUAAGAUUUUUGUUAUAACCAAAAUUAUUUUUAUAUAUUUUGCCCUGUAAUGUGGAUAAUAACAUAAAAUCCGCUGGUGUCUGUGUUAAAGGCUCUUUUUUACGAGAGGUGCAAUCAGUGGCUGUCAUAUGAAGCACUUCAAAGUUGAAUUAACGGCGGUUUUCCAGUCGUCAUUUCAUAACCAUCCGCCAUUUUCUAAUCAAAUCGCUUUCAUCAAGAGCUCAUCUAGUUGUUUCGAACUAUGUUAAUAUGUUAAAAUGAGCAGAGGAUCCACCAGUGUGGUCGCAAUCAGCACAGACUUUCAUUACUGUAUGUUCGAAAAUAAUGGGAAGGCAGAGCAGAGGAAAAACAAGACGAUUAUGAGUCAGCACCGGGAAAAAUCUCCCUCCUAAUUAAAUCAAGCGUGCCCUUCACUUCACUAAACUUCCAUAUCUUGUUUUGAUCGCGCGGUGGAUGCUGGUAACCUGCACAGAAAAAUAAAGUCCCAGAAUUCGAUUAAACUCUGUUCCUUGCUGUUUUCAUCAGCGUCCUUAAAUGGAAAUCAUUCAGGAAAAAAGGUGUGUGUUUCAAGCAGAUGGAAGGUCGACUCAUCUUAGACCUGCAGCUAUAAGACGCCGACUUCAAGCGAAAGCUUUAACCGCCGGUUUUCAGAAAGGAUGAAAAACAAGUUAAUUAAUCUUGUUUUCACUGCUUUGUGUUCAGGGUUGAAGAGUCUCGACUGAUGUACAUCCCGUUCUUGGUAUUUAAAGAGUCACAAUAUGAAAGAUGAUUCAAGGGGUGUUAAAAUAUUAUUAAAUUACCUACAAUACAAUGAAAGCUGUCAGCCCAGGAGUGUGCCGUAAUCAAUCAUGCACAUCCAAUGCAAAGACAAAACUAAGAUUAAAAUAAAACCCAGCUUUAGUCACAGUUAAUAAAACUUUUACCAAUUAUAAAGACAUCAGCUAUAAACCAUCAAUAAGAGAAGCUUGCAAGGUUGACGUAUUUCAUCAAUGCAAACAAAUCUAUACAAGUCUGAAGGUAUAAAUGCUACUACUACUACUUAUAUAAGAUAAUACUGAUCACAUUUCAAAAUUCAGGUUUCACGGCAGCAAAGUAAAACAGACAAGUUAUUAAAUCCUUACGAUUUAAAAAACAUGAAAGAUAACAUAAUGUAACAACCAACACAGCGGUCAAAGAGCUAAAACACUGUUAAAAGGAAUAAGAGACGGCUCUGAAGAAAUACAAACUCAAAUAACAUCAGGAAAAGGCCCUCUGAUAAAAGUGUGUUUUAAGAAGAGACUUCAAAGAGGUCACUGAGUCAGCCGACCUGAUUUCCUCGGGCAGAUUUUCUCACAGCUUCGAGGCCUCGACAGUGAACGUUCUGUCCCCUUUAGUUUUAAGAUUAAAGACUUCUGCCUGAGGAUCUCAAAGUGGUGUACACUAUACUAAAAGGUCAAGAAUCUAACUAGGAGAGAGGCCAUGAAGAAUUUCAAACGGUAAAAUCUUAAAAUCUGUCCUAAAACAUAAUGAGAGCUGGUGUAGAGAAGCUAAACAGGGAGUGAUGCGCUCACACUCGGCGGUUCUGGUUCUGCUGAGUCGAUCAUCAAGGGUUUUUAUCCAUCAGUUCUGCAGUGGUUCAGGUAAGUCGUCAAACUGUUCAACCAUGCAAAGAGCUGAGCUUCAUGCAUGUCCGCAGAUUGAGAGGUAAUUUUAAGCUUCAUUACAGACAGACAAAAGUUGACAGGCGAUCAAGGGAAACAAGACUCUCAGUUCCAGUCCAUUGUGUUUGUCGUAGACAUUGACUGUUUACAGUAUAAAGAUGGACAAACUCUCUGUGGCGUCGCCCCAGGUUACCAUGACGCUACGACAGGUUUCCUAAAGGUCAGUGUGGUGACUUCAGCUGCCACCAUCGUGUCUGACUCAUCCUAACAUUAAAAUAGUUACUUGUGUUGUGAACUUUGGUAAGAAGCAGAAACUUUAGCGUUGCCAUGGAUACGUGAGUGUUAAAUUCUGUCCAUGUUUCAUUUUGUGAAAUGCAGUCCAGCAGAUGAGUUUGUUUUUACUGCCAGCUACCAUUCAGUCUGAGAUAUUAAGAAUAAAUAAAUGUGCAUAAUGUGGAAAUUAGCAGAUUUUAUUUUUAUUUAUUCCUACAGCCAGAAUAUGGAGGAAUUUAGUCUCACAAUCACAGACAAUAAAUAUGAUCUGAAAGUCGGGUUAUUGUUGUGUAUCACAAUACAAAAAGAUUCAUGUCAGAAAUAUUCCAGUGAUGACCCUAGAAUGUCAUGAUUUAUGUAAUUUUACCUCAAUAAUAUGAAUGUUCAGGUUGAGAUUGUGCAGUGAUAUUUAUUAUGUAAGUUUAGCUGAUUAAAGUUUAUGACUCUUCACUACAAUAUUAUUUAUUAUUUAAAUUCCCAUCAUUUUAUAAUAUUUAUGGUCAGACUCUACAGUAUUGAGAUUAAGAAAUCAAAUAUUCUAUAAAAUGUAAAUACACUGAACUAAUUUGUAUAUAUUUAAGUGAGACUACAAUAUUAUUUGACACAAAUCUAUCGAAAUCAACAUUUUAAUCAUUUUUACUCCAAACAUUUACUAGACUGAUUUGAAUAAUAAAAUCACUCCUUUCUAAUCCUCUGCUGUACGUUCAAACCUGAGGCCUUAAAUAGAAACACGCAAGUAUCUGAUUGAAGGAACUUCAGCAGCAGAGCCCUGGUUCCAGAACAUGAUGAGAGAAUUGUAGACAAACUUUAACAAAAGCUGCCUGAGAGUUUACAGGUUUUUAUGUCAGAUUUCUUCAGUAAUAUAAUGAGAGUUAUCAGCAAAAAUCAAGUUUUCAUUUGAUAAACUUAAUUUCUUAAAACAUCCAGAGUUGGAGCUCAUAUCUUUGGCAACUGUAAAGUUUUUGCUCCUUCAAAGCUCACAACACAAUGAAUGGAUUCCUAAAACACUCUCAGUGCUGGAGAGCGUUUGUGAUGCUGAAGCAGUGACCAGUUUUUCUGUUUCUUCUCUGGAGAUGCACAACGAGGGACGUCUGCAGCGACUGAGGAAGUGUCUCACCACAUCCUGAUACGAGGAAAAAGACUUUAUUGAAGACGUCAAUGAGAAAACUGUCAGGCAGCAGACAGCAUGCAUUCAAGCUGCUGAAUUCAUGGAUGAAUCAUCUGCCACUAGAGAGGAAGACCAUCAAACAUCCACGUCAGCUGAUGGAGGUCCAAGAGUCUCACCAAACAAACAACCUACAGAGUGAAGACCUCUAACCUGACUGAACGGCCUCCUAUUCAGCCACAUUUCAGGCUGUUAGAUUGUUCCAGAUAAGACAAAUACAAGAUACUUCAGAGCUGUUCUACCAGGAGCCUGACAGGAAGAACUCCAAUAGCUGCUGAAUGUUCCUGUGGUCCCCUCAAGGCUACAGGAGGAGUCCUACGAGGACGAGCCGGUCCACCUGAUGCCGGCUAGUCGCUGUAGUUCGAAGCCAACACCGACUACGUGGACUUCUACUGGACCACACGGAGACCAACAAGUUCACUGACUCCCUGACUUGUGGGUCUGAGGACGCCGCUGAGCCUCAGCCCAGCCGGCCGCCUGUCUGUGGGUGUUUGAGUGCUGAGAGGUUUGUGGAUGCAUGUGAACGUGUCUGUGCUGAAACAGCAGCUUUUGACUCAGUAAUGCCGGUAAAAACCAAGAGCUCCUUUAUUUGUGACUUCCACUAAAAAAACUGAUGAAAAUAAAUUUGCCAGAGUUCUGACUGAUAGCAGGUUAGUAAAUAAAGAAAAUAAUAGUUUAAAUGUUCCUUUAAUCAAUCCUUUUAGGUCUACAUUUCCUUUACACUGACUUCUUGGUGUAUGUACAAGUAUUUUGGGUGGAAUAUACCAUUAAGCCCAAUGUUCAAGGGUUCUUCUGGGAAUAAACCAUGAAACCAACCUUUUAGGUAAAUGUUUUAGGAUGUUGGGUAGAAUAUACCAUCUGAUCAACCUCUCAGACCUUCUACAUUGGAAGAUUUUAGAGUAGAAUAUUACUCCAAACCAUCCUUUAGGUCUACAUUUAAGGUGGAAUACUCCUUUACACGAAGAUUUUUUGGUCUACAUUGAAGGAUUUUAGGUGGAAUAUUCCUUUGAUCAAAAUUGUUAAGUUUAUGUUCAAGGAUGUUUGGUGGAAUAUACCAUCAGACCAACCUCCAAGGUCUACAGUAGUGAAUUUUAGGUGGAAUAUACCAUUAAACUCAACUUUUAGGUCUACAUUGGAGGAUUUUAGGUGGAAUUUUCUUCCAAACCGUCUUUUAGUCUACAUUUAAGGAUGUUUAGGAUAUUCUUAUAUCCUAUAUUCUUCCAAACCAACUUCUCAGGUCUACAUUUCAGGUGGGAUAUUCCUCCAUGCUAACUUUUUUAGUCUACAUUGAAGGAUUUGAGGUUUUAGGUGGAAUAUCCCUUUUAACCAGCCCCUCAGGUCUCUUUGAGGAUUUUGGAUGGAAUACUCGGUUAAACCAACAUUUUAGGUGCAUGUCCAGGGAUUUUUGGUGGAAUGGUCCUUUAAGGUCGAUGUGUGAGAACCUUGUAGGUGGAAUACUGUGACGUUUUUACAGUGAAGAAUCUACUAUGAAACCGGUUUGACAUGUUCAGGCGUUCUAUGUGUGAAAACUCAGAGAUUUCAGGUAUCAGAAGGUGGUUUUCAACUUUCUUUGUUAAAGGGGAACUUCGUUUUGUUUCAACCUGGGGUCUGUUUUCAUAUGUCAUUUCAUACAUGUGAGUGAUAGAGAACUGAAUUUUUGACAUAGCUCCAGUAUUUAGCCAGGCAGGCAGCUUAGCAGCUCAGCUAGUGAAAAGUAUGGGGCAACUUGCCCUCCGCGUCAAAGUCCGCCCUAACGUGCUAUAUUUCCCACACUGACCGGCUCGAAUAGUCUCAACGAGUGUCCCACAACAUACUAGAGAUGAGAAGUGAAUGAAAACCUCCACAUUACUUGGCGAUCGCUAUUUGUCGUGGUCUGUAUCCAAAUCUCAGGACGCGAGAAAGCAAAUCUCGUUCUGAAAUCGCGCGAUAGCUCGCGCCAAAACCGGUCAGUGAAGACUCUCCACUGACAGUUUUAUUAACUAAAUGCACCACAUUACACAAACACAACACAACACACUUCAACUGUUUACAUGAAACUCUACACAAACAUCGUUAGCUUAAUGCUACGUUAGCUUUAAUCAGGCUACGACUGAGCAGCUAGCUCGGUUAGCAUUGCUAACAUUAAAGCUAAUAUUUACUGGAUGCUAACUCUCUUCUUUGGUCAAUAAACAUUGAAAAAAACUCCAACAUUUGGAGUGCAUGGCACACAUUAUAUCUGACACUACAGUUGCAUAUAAAGUGCAUUAAUAGCGGCACCGAUACGAAAAUAAACACUUACCGAACUAUCAGAGUCCUUUCAGUGUCUGCUGGUAGAAUCAGCCGAAGGUAGGAAACUGGUUAAAACAAGCCAACAGGCAGGAAAACUGUUUGUGGAAAAUGUUCUGCUGCUCCACCGACAAAUAAACCAACAGUUACUAUAUCAGAGUUAAUCAAAACGAGGAGAGCACAGUCUGGGCUGCCUCCUCCCACAGACUGUAUAUCUUUAUAUACAGUCUAUGCCUCCUCCAUAGGACCUGUCAAAUAUUCCAGACCGGACUGUUUAUCAAGUAACCCUGCCCCCUGGCUUAACAAAACUUUAACGCUCUAUAACAACAACAAAAAAAUCAAUAUUGGUUUAUUUUAAGAUCGGCCACCUGAUCUCUCAUUAUGACCAUGAAAACUAACGGGAAAAAAAUGUAUAUACAGUCUAUGCACCGUACUCUGUUUGGCUCCACACCUGCUGAUGACCACUUCCGGUCUCAGAAAAUGAAAAAAAACUGACCUUUUUUCGUUUCUGCCUCUUACUGAUUUUAUUUUCUUGUUAUUGUAAAUAUAAAAUGAAAAUCAAAGCAUUUUUAAAAUUUCAUUAGCAAGUUAUGUUAUACUGUGAAUAACAAACUUGCAGACAACGGGGCAAUAAUUAUUCUUUAUUCAUGAGGAUUAGAUAUCUGUGAACACUAAUUUACUUGAUAUUGCAAAAAAGGACAUUGUGAUGUUGUAAAGAGUCUUGUUGGAGAUUAGCCCUUUAACUGAUGUUCUCAUAUUUGUAAAAUGUAAGUUGUGAUGGAACUGUUUCCUUGCAGAGGAAAAAGAGAUGAUAGUGUUAUCAGAAAGUGCAACACCUUUUAUUUUAUUUUUUUAUUUAAUAUUUUUAUUUCUUCUUUAAUUUCAUUUUUAAGGUUUAGAUAUCCUUGAACACUUAUUUGAACAGAAUAUAGAUUCUGAUAUUGUAAAGUAUAAUGUUGGAGAUGUGCACUCAUGUUGGAAUAAAUCCUUAUUGUGAAGCAAC